UUUAAUUAGUACAGCCUGUAUUAGUAAUGUCAUCUAUUCUUUACAGGCUAUGCUAAUCUAUGC
Molecule: microRNA precursor, 63 nt
Organism: Cottoperca gobio
Lineage: Eukaryota; Metazoa; Chordata; Actinopteri; Perciformes; Bovichtidae
Source: Ensembl